Molecule: transfer RNA, 73 nt
Filed under: Chloroflexota bacterium
Lineage: Bacteria; Bacillati; Chloroflexota
Also listed under: 2 other names
Description: Chloroflexi bacterium tRNA-Thr
Rfam family: tRNA
About the family: Transfer RNA (tRNA) molecules are approximately 80 nucleotides in length.
Source: RNAcentral
GCCCACGUAGCUCAGUCGGUAGAGCACUCGCAUGGUAAGUGAGCGGUCGGCGGUUCGAGUCCGCCCGUGGGCU